This 457-nucleotide ribosomal RNA is filed under the name uncultured bacterium. Its description in RNAcentral is "bacterial SSU rRNA". It matches the Rfam family "Bacterial small subunit ribosomal RNA", at positions 1 to 507 of the family's 1533-position model. The record is from RNAcentral.
UCACGUAGUUUGACUCGUGCUCAGAACGACGCUUGGCGGCAGGCCUAACACAUGCAAGUCGAGCGAGACCUUCGGGUCUAGCGGCGGACGGGUGAGUAACGCGUGGGAACGUGCCCUUUGGUACGGAAUAGCCCCGGGAAACUGGGAGUAAUACCGGAUGUGCCCUUUGGGGGAAAGAUUUAUCGGCAAAGGAUCGGCCCGCGUUGGAUUAGGUAGUUGGUGGGGUAAUGGCCUACCAAGCCGACGAUCCAUAGCUGGUUUGAGAGGAUGAUCAGCCACACUGGGACUGAGACACGGCCCAGACUCCUACGGGAGGCAGCAGUGGGGAAUCUUAGACAAUGGGGGAAACCCUGAUCUAGCCAUGCCGCGUGAUCGAUGAAGGCCUUAGGGUUGUAAAGAUCUUUCAGAUGGGAAGAUAAUGACGGUACCAUCAGAAGAAGCCCCGGCUAACUCCGUG